GAAAGACGUUUGUUUCCAGGGGUGAAAGCGACAGAAUCGGGACGUGCGUGCUGCCAUCAUUAUCAUCGUUCAAAGAUCCCUGACCGCUGGGCCCGAGACUCGGCAGAGACUGGCUUAUUCACUGUCGGAGAUAAGAGAGACGAAAAGGAAGCGAGAGGAGAAAGAGCCCGCCAGGCUGGUGCUUAUCACACUAGGAAAAGCCGAACUUUUUUCUGUGGACCCCCGAGUCAGCGAGUUCCGUCCAUGUUGUUGGGGUAGUGGGUGUAGACGGCAAUGCGCCCGCGCACCGGCCGAGCCUGGGAAGCACACGCACUUUCCGGUUACGAUCCAGACUGUUUAUCAUCAAACAAACAUGCUGUUAGGAAAGCUCGUUUUCCCAGAGCCGACCCACUGGGUGCGGCACGCAAUCUGCCCGAUGCUGGGACGUCCUUAGGAGGCAACCAGCGAUUCAUGCGUGGACGCUCGCGGGAACGCCACGCUCGGGGCCGCGGCUCCCCGCGCUCUACAGAAACAGCCUCGAAACAUGCCCAGGGCUCUCGCACAUGAAUACAGUGCGGAACAAAAGCUGGACGCUCGCCACGCCCGUCAUCAACGGCGCUUGUCUCGAUUUGAGCACCAAGCGUCAACGCAAUGGGCUUUUGCUGGAGCCCGUCUCUGGAUGGUAACGGUGCAGGUUUGCCAAACGCUCGACGACGUCGACGCGCUAAUCUCGAUAAAACUGGUCAAGGAUGCUCUGCCGCUGUUUAAAAGCUCUUAAGCACGGCGACAUGCUCGUCAAACGCUCUGAUCGAACCGACUUGCCGCGAAUGAUCGUGGAAAUCGACCGGCACCAGCCAGCGUGCCCGAACGGCGGUCGCUUGACGCCGAAACAACGCAAGCAUGCUUCGCGGGUACGGUGUGUGCAGAGCGCAUGCUCCACGCUGAUACGAGGUCCCAUUCUGGAUCAUUCCAUUUCCGUGUAUGUGUGUGUGUGUAUGUGCCCAGCUCGAAGCGUCCGUCUGGAUUACACCCUCGCAUGCGUAUGCUGCGUAUGCUCAGAUGCGCUCGAAUCAGAGAGCAGUCCUAGGCGCCGUCGUGUCGAUAAGCGCGUUCGAUAGCACUCAAUAUCCCUGCCUUGGUACGGUGGGCGAUCGCCUGCCUCGAGCGAAACAAACGGUCGAGGCGCAGACCCCGUGUACACCUGCGCCGGACGAACCACGUGGGUAUGCUCUCGAACAUCGAGCUGGGCUUCGGCCAGCUGAGCCUCUCUGCUAUGUGCGAGCCAUCCCGCGAUGCGCGGUAUAGCGAACAAAAGCGGGUAAAAGUCGGUCGGGAAACCCAAAGCCCGAUAAAUAACACCACUGUAAAAAUC
Molecule: RNA transcript, 1351 nt
Organism: Cyanidioschyzon merolae strain 10D
Lineage: Eukaryota; Rhodophyta; Bangiophyceae; Cyanidiales; Cyanidiaceae
Exons: 1
Source: RefSeq, a predicted model, not a curated record